Molecule: ribosomal RNA, 253 nt
Filed under: uncultured bacterium
Lineage: Bacteria
Description: partial 16S ribosomal RNA
Rfam family: Bacterial small subunit ribosomal RNA
Source: RNAcentral
UACGUAGGUGGCAAGCGUUGUCCGGAUUUAUUGGGCUUAAAGGGUGCGUAGGCGGCCCUGUAAGUCAGUGCUGAAAUAUCCCGGCUUAACCGGGAGGGUGGCAUUGAUACUGCGGGGCUAGAGUACAGAUGAGGUAGGCGGAAUUGACGGUGUAGCGGUGAAAUGCUUAGAUAUCGUCAAGAACACCUAUAGCGAAGGCAGCUUACUAGGCUGUAACUGACGCUGAGGCACGAAAGUGUGGGGAUCAAACAGG